Armigeres subalbatus is the source of this 299-nucleotide long non-coding RNA. RefSeq lists it as uncharacterized. The record is from RefSeq and is a predicted model, not a curated record. Lineage: Eukaryota; Metazoa; Arthropoda; Insecta; Diptera; Culicidae. The transcript has 3 exons.
GAAAAUAAUAAAACUGUAUGUUGCAGAAAGUGUUUUUUUCAUUACAGUUUUUGGUGCUGGGCAACGGUAGAUCACUAUGGCUUCUGUACCGUGAAAUGAAGCUUAUGAUGAAAUACUGAUGCUUGGCCAAUCUCACCAACGGGAUAUAAUAAGAACUGAUGCAGGUUUAUAACAUGUAUUGUCUAUCCGGAACAAAGUUAGUUUAUAUCGAAGUUCGAUUUUCUCCAGAUACAGGCAACUUACCCAACUUCGAAAGUAGAGCGCUGGAUUCGCCUGAAGAUGCGCUAAACAACACAUCA